Molecule: transfer RNA, 71 nt
Filed under: Candidatus Moraniibacteriota bacterium
Lineage: Bacteria; Candidatus Moraniibacteriota
Description: tRNA-Gly
Rfam family: tRNA
About the family: Transfer RNA (tRNA) molecules are approximately 80 nucleotides in length. Their secondary structure includes four short double-helical elements and three loops (D, anti-codon, and T loops).
Source: RNAcentral
GCGAGAGUAGUACAAUGGUAGUACACUGGCUUCCCAAGCCAGGGACGCGAGUUCGAUUCUCGUCUCUCGCU